Otolemur garnettii (small-eared galago) is the source of this 423-nucleotide long non-coding RNA. RefSeq lists it as uncharacterized. The transcript is spliced from 2 exons. The record is from RefSeq and is a predicted model, not a curated record. Lineage: Eukaryota; Metazoa; Chordata; Mammalia; Primates; Galagidae.
CAAGUCUGUGUGUGGAGGGAAAGCCAAACGGUGGAAAAUUACUCGGGGAGAAACCACUGUCUCUGGACACAGAGACCUGCUGUUAGAUGAGGCGGCUUCCUGAUGGCAGAGGAAGGGGCUGAAGGAGAUGCCCUCCAAAGCGGUGUAAAGCAAGCCUGUUUUGUGCACACAGAUUGUCAAGAGGGAAGGAAAUUCUACAUCAACUGUGCUGGGCCUCAGUGAGGAGACAGGAGAACACUGAGGACAGCCAAAUCCCACCUGUAGCAAGGAUGGUGGCAGAGGCUAGUGAUCAGAGAUGUUCUGGGCAACUGUCCAGUGACCAGCCCAUUAUGAGAAGGGACCAUGUCUUGCCUUGCCUGCCUCACAGGGUUUUGGGGAGGGAGAGUCUGAAAAGCCACCUGCAAAUAUAAUCCCUCAUCCUCA